This is a non-coding RNA of Pelobates cultripes (western spadefoot toad), 66 nucleotides long. NCBI's taxonomy places the organism in Eukaryota, Metazoa, Chordata, Amphibia, Anura, Pelobatidae. The record is from the annotation of a GenBank genome assembly.
GGCCACCUCUAUGAGCUCCCACACACAUACUACUGUAUAUGUGUGUGGGAGCUCAUUGAGGUGGCC